This 421-nucleotide long non-coding RNA is filed under the name Sorghum bicolor (sorghum). Its description in RNAcentral is "long non-coding RNA (SBIC_LNC000694)". Lineage: Eukaryota; Viridiplantae; Streptophyta; Magnoliopsida; Poales; Poaceae. The record is from RNAcentral.
UGUUACUUGGAGUUUUUGUAUAAUUUUGAAAGAAAGCUAGCAUACCUUUUUGUCCUCAUAGGUUCUCUCAGAUCACUCAUUAUCUUUUAUAUAUCUCACUGAGGCUGUUUUAAUUUGCAAAAAAUUCUCAAGCAUACUUACUUUGUAUUUAUUGCCUGAUCAAAACAGGAUCCAAGGAGGGGAAUGUCAUACUCUUAGAUCAAAGACUUUGGAAAUUAAAACUUUGUCAACUCUUGCUGGCAUAUUGCUUAUUAGAGGGACCAUGGGCUAUCAUUUUUUUAAGUGGAUACCGAGGUAUCCCUAAUUCUACUACCGGACACUUGUCCAUUUUUCCUACGAGGUUGUCGAGCACUUGCUCCUUUUUAUUUCCUCGAAAUAUCUUUAUUUUUGCAUAGCCCAUGCCUCUAAUGCAAUAAUACUU